UGAUAUUCCUAAAAAUUGAUAUUUACAAAAUGAUUCUAAAAGCUAUUUAUAGAAUUCUAAAAUGGGGAUGUUCGCUAAGCGAAUCCUUGUUCGCUAAGCGAAUAAGUUCCUUAGCUGAAGAGGUUUGCUGACACGUGUAAUCAAUUGUGACUCAUCAUGUGUUCGCCAGGUGUUCGCUGUAGCGAACACUUUUUCUUGUGUUGUUCGC
This 208-nucleotide long non-coding RNA is filed under the name Trifolium pratense (red clover). Its description in RNAcentral is "long non-coding RNA (TPRA_LNC001021)". The record is from RNAcentral. Lineage: Eukaryota; Viridiplantae; Streptophyta; Magnoliopsida; Fabales; Fabaceae.